This 301-nucleotide ribosomal RNA is filed under the name uncultured bacterium. RNAcentral describes it as "partial 16S ribosomal RNA". It matches the Rfam family "Bacterial small subunit ribosomal RNA", at positions 509 to 807 of the family's 1533-position model. The record is from RNAcentral.
CAGUAGCCGCGGUAAUACGUAGGGUCCGAGCGUUGUCCGGAAUUACUGGGCGUAAAGAGCUCGUAGGUGGUUUGUCGCGUUGUUCGUGAAAACUCACAGCUCAACUGUGGGCGUGCGGGCGAUACGGGCAGACUGGAGUACUGCAGGGGAGACUGGAAUUCCUGGUGUAGCGGUGGAAUGCGCAGAUAUCAGGAGGAACACCGGUGGCGAAGGCGGGUCUCUGGGCAGUAACUGACGCUGAGGAGCGAAAGCGUGGGGAGCGAACAGGAUUAGAUACCCCAGUAGUCCCUGUCUCUUAUAC